AGAGUUUGAUCCUGGCUCAGAGCGAACGCUGGCGGCAGGCUUAACACAUGCAAGUCGAGCGGGCGUAGCAAUACGUCAGCGGCAGACGGGUGAGUAACGCGUGGGAACGUACCUUUUGGUUCGGAACAACACAGGGAAACUUGUGCUAAUACCGGAUAAGCCCUUACGGGGAAAGAUUUAUCGCCAAAAGAUCGGCCCGCGUCUGAUUAGCUAGUUGGUGAGGUAAUGGCUCACCAAGGCGACGAUCAGUAGCUGGUCUGAGAGGAUGAUCAGCCACAUUGGGACUGAGACACGGCCCAAACUCCUACGGGAGGCAGCAGUGGGGAAUAUUGGACAAUGGGCGCAAGCCUGAUCCAGCCAUGCCGCGUGAGUGAUGAAGGCCCUAGGGUUGUAAAGCUCUUUUGUGCGGGAAGAUAAUGACGGUACCGCAAGAAUAAGCCCCGGCUAACUUCGUGCCAGCAGCCGCGGUAAUACGAAGGGGGCUAGCGUUGCUCGGAAUCACUGGGCGUAAAGGGUGCGUAGGCGGGUCUUUAAGUCAGGGGUGAAAUCCUGGAGCUCAACUCCAGAACUGCCUUUGAUACUGAAGAUCUUGAGUUCGGGAGAGGUGAGUGGAACUGCGAGUGUAGAGGUGAAAUUCGUAUAUAUUCGCAAAACACCAGUGGCGAAGGCGGCUCACUGGCCCGAUACUGACGCUGAGGCACGAAAGCGUGGGGAGCAAACAGGAUUAGAUACCCUGGUACUCC
This 743-nucleotide ribosomal RNA is filed under the name uncultured bacterium. RNAcentral's name for it is "bacterial SSU rRNA". It matches the Rfam family "Bacterial small subunit ribosomal RNA", at positions 8 to 796 of the family's 1533-position model. The record is from RNAcentral.